This 58-nucleotide transfer RNA is filed under the name Dipodomys ordii (Ord's kangaroo rat). It matches the Rfam family "tRNA", at positions 8 to 63 of the family's 71-position model. From Rfam's summary of the family: Transfer RNA (tRNA) molecules are approximately 80 nucleotides in length. Their secondary structure includes four short double-helical elements and three loops (D, anti-codon, and T loops). Lineage: Eukaryota; Metazoa; Chordata; Mammalia; Rodentia; Heteromyidae. The record is from Rfam by way of RNAcentral.
UGGCUCAGUGGUAGAGUGCUUGCCUUGCAUGCAGGAGACCCUGGGUUCGAUUCCUCAG